RNAcentral lists this ribosomal RNA (433 nucleotides) under uncultured bacterium. RNAcentral's name for it is "partial 16S ribosomal RNA". It matches the Rfam family "Bacterial small subunit ribosomal RNA", at positions 29 to 507 of the family's 1533-position model. The record is from RNAcentral.
AACGAACGCUGGCGGCAUGCCUAACACAUGCAAGUCGAACGAAGUCUUCGGACUUAGUGGCGCACGGGUGCGUAACGCGUGGGAAUCUGCCCUUGGGUACGGAAUAACUCAGAGACAUUUGUGCUAAUACCGUAUAAUGUCUUCGGACCAAAGAUUUAUCGCCCAAGGAUGAGCCCGCGUAAGAUUAGCUAGUUGGUGGGGUAAAAGCCUACCAAGGCGACGAUCUUUAGCUGGUCUGAGAGGAUGAUCAGCCACACUGGGACUGAGACACGGCCCAGACUCCUACGGGAGGCAGCAGUGGGGAAUAUUGGACAAUGGGCGAAAGCCUGAUCCAGCAAUGCCGCGUGAGUGAUGAAGGCCCUAGGGUUGUAAAGCUCUUUUACCAGGGAUGAUAAUGACAGUACCUGGAGAAUAAGCUCCGGCUAACUCCGUG